This 73-nucleotide transfer RNA is filed under the name Canis lupus familiaris (dog). It matches the Rfam family "tRNA". Rfam says of the family: Transfer RNA (tRNA) molecules are approximately 80 nucleotides in length. Their secondary structure includes four short double-helical elements and three loops (D, anti-codon, and T loops). The record is from Rfam by way of RNAcentral. RNAcentral also lists the same sequence under 2 other names. Lineage: Eukaryota; Metazoa; Chordata; Mammalia; Carnivora; Canidae.
ACUGGGCUGACUCAGUCAGUAGAGCACAUGACUCUUGAUCAUGAGGUCAUGAGUUCAAACCUCAUGUUGGGCA